Molecule: RNase P RNA, 391 nt
Filed under: Pseudarcicella hirudinis
Lineage: Bacteria; Pseudomonadati; Bacteroidota; Cytophagia; Cytophagales; Flectobacillaceae
Description: Arcicella sp. E92 Bacterial RNase P class A
Rfam family: Bacterial RNase P class A
About the family: Ribonuclease P (RNase P) is a ubiquitous endoribonuclease, found in archaea, bacteria and eukarya as well as chloroplasts and mitochondria. Its best characterised activity is the generation of mature 5'-ends of tRNAs by cleaving the 5'-leader elements of precursor-tRNAs. Cellular RNase Ps are ribonucleoproteins.
Source: Rfam by way of RNAcentral
GAAAUAAGUCGUCUUAUCGCCUUUGCUUGCAGGGGAGGAAAGUCCGAACAACACAGAGCAUCAUGCUUCCUAACGGGAAGGUACUUAACUGGUGACGGUUUUGUAACAGACAGUGCCACAGAAAAUUACCGCCCUUUUGGCUUGCUGAGAGGGUAAGGGUGAAAAGGUAGAGUAAGAGCCUACCGCUCGGCUGGUGACAGCAGAGGCAUAGGUAAACCUCAUGCGUUGAAAGACCAAAUAGGCUGAUUGCUCAGUAAGAAAUUACUGUAAAAGGGCUGCUCGCCCGAAGUCAGCGGGUAGGUUGAUAGAGGCAGUAGGUGACUACUGUUCGAGAUAAAUGAUAAGACUAUCUUCGGGUAGACAGAAUUCGGCUUAUAGACUUAUUUUAUUU